GGGGGCGCAAAGGUUUCGACGGAGAAGCUAAGGCUUUUAAGCUGCAUGUCGAGGAUGUCUUGUAGGCUCGUUAAACAUUCAAGGCACAAAUAUAAUCGCAGAAAACUACGAUUACGCUUUAGCCGCUUAAUCCCGGCUAACGUUCUUAAGGCUGAAACCUGUAGGUUUUAAGAACGACAUUUACAGGUCAGGAUAUUUAAAUAUCCUUUGUUUAAAUAUCUUAAAUUUUAGAGGACUGCUGAAAAAAGGUCUUGUUUAUUCUCGGCUUUUUAAGCGGAUGUUCUAAAGAAUAAAAUAAACAUGUAGAUGCUUGAGUUAAAGAUCUUCGGACGCGGGUUCGAUUCCCGCCGCCUCCACCA
This 359-nucleotide transfer-messenger RNA is filed under the name bacterium. It matches the Rfam family "transfer-messenger RNA". Rfam says of the family: Bacterial tmRNA, also known as 10Sa RNA or SsrA, is named for its dual tRNA and mRNA-like properties. Its role is to liberate the mRNA from a stalled ribosome. To accomplish this part of the tmRNA is used as a reading frame that ends in a translation stop signal. RNAcentral also lists the same sequence under 1 other name. The record is from RNAcentral.